CGCUUAAUUAUCGCGUGUAUCCUUUUUAUCCUUUUUACCGGAGCGUUCCGAUUUAUUUUAUUCGCAUUUCACAUUUUUCGAAUAAUCAAUAUAGACGCGAUCGCGUGGAAAAUAAUCAGGUCCUUCCCCCGAGUAAUAACGGGGAGUAAAUUCGACACGUAGCACACGUAACGAACGUGGCGAUAUCUGGUGAACAAAGAUAAAAGCAAUACGCAUCGAUACACGUCCGGAUCAUCGUGUGUCAUCGGGAAGUGGACAGUAAUGCAUAACGAGCACACGCGCGGUCAAUUCCGUUAUCGAAACGGAUGGCUUUAUUAAACCCAUUAUUCACUGGUCGUAAUUUAUCACGAUAACAUUGCGUUUUAAGGAUGAUUAUACGAUGGUCAAGAAGGAUGAUGUGUAUCUGCCGAUUACGCGUGCCCUCUGUUUGAUCACGUGAUCGAUUACUCGAACGACGACAGCUCGUCGACCUUAUUUUCCAUACAAACAGUGAACACAUUCGACUCGAAAUCCAUACUAUCGCCGAUACGUCGUUAUAUAUACAGUGGAAAAUUCCGUUAGAGGAUAUAUCACGGUUUACCAUCGACGAUUCGUCUUAGUCACGAGGAAUCGAAAAAACAUCGACAGCUCGCUCCUCUAUUUUCUGCGCUCGUUACGUGGCGAAACAUAACCUUUCAACCUAGAUGCUCGCACACUUUGACGGAUUAGACCCGGUUUACAUCGCCAAGCAUCCACCAACUGUUAUUAUUCUACCCACGUAUCGAAGACACACCGUGGGAUGAAAUUUGGCGUGUGCAUCGUGUGCAAAGGCAGCUUAAUAUCGACGGGGCCGGCGGAUCUAAAAGCGAAGUUUCCUCUCUUCUCCGAGGGAUUUUCUCAGCUUUGGAAUAUAUAGUGGAGAGCGGUGUGUAAACGAUCGCCGUGCCUCCGCACGCCAUAUUAAUAGGGCCAUCUUCGUGGCCAGCUUAAUAUUGGAUAGCGGGGCGCUUCGGACGGUCCUUAGAAGCAGAAACGAUUUAUGGCCUCCACCGUUGGAGGAUUUGUAAAUAGAAUCCUGUGUAGAAGGAGAGCGGCCCGAGGACAGGCACGUGCUCGGCAUAAAGUCCGCCAAGAAUAUGAGGAGGAUUUCCACCAAUUGAAUUUGUUGUUACAGCCUCUACCGAUGCGAAUCAAAUUGAAAAUGAACCACGUUAUCUACUCGCUGAGUAAAUCCUUGCUUCCACGAAACUUAUUAUUAGUUAUUAAUUAUUGACC
Long non-coding RNA from Apis florea (little honeybee), 1254 nucleotides. The record is from RefSeq and is a predicted model, not a curated record. Lineage: Eukaryota; Metazoa; Arthropoda; Insecta; Hymenoptera; Apidae.